UUUUUUUUUUAAGUUGGGUUUAUUUCAUAAAAAAUUGCAAAGGAUGAAAUAAUCUGUUAAAGUCAGCCUACAGAUAUGUUCCACAAAAUUAUAUAAUCUAAAGUAGAAAAUAAUUUUAGGGCCCAAAUUAACAAAUAGAAACUUUGUACUUUGAAUUCAGAAGACAUUUUAUAGCAUUUUUGUCUUCCUUUCUCAAAGUUUCUCAAAGCCCCUUAUUCUAAGAAUUAAUUUCCUCUCCCCUAAAGUUAAAAGUCCAUCUUUUCACAUAAGUAUAAAACAGGAUCUAGAUUUCUCUAAUAUAGUGACUUAUGACUUUAAAACCCCUAGAUUCAGUUGUUUCAAUAGCAACAGCUAUAAUUACAUCCCCUUUUUGACACUGCUUUCCUGAUUUGAUCCUAUUUAAGCUUUCCAAGAACCAACAUAGUGACAACUUGUUUAUUCAGAAGAAAUCAAGAAAAGUAGGAUUAUAGUCAGAUGAGCAUACACUCAUGUCAUGUUCAACGAAAUGCUCUGGAAGCUUUGAAUGUUUUCUAAAAUGUUAAAUAUUUCAUGGCCACAAAGAUAUACUUCUCCGUGUCAUUCUAGGAAUUGGGUUUGUUUGUUUCUACAAUGCCUGUGCACCCUCUUAUGGACAUUUUAGGAUUUGCUUUGUUGAAAGAUUCCAUUUAUUCAAGGCUAUUCAAAGGUUUCAUCUUGUAAAUUUGAAUUUUUAUUAGGAUAAUGACAUUUACACACUUCACACCUUUAAAUCUGUGAUUUCAUAAUCCCAAAAAUUAAUUGAAGCUCACACCUCUUCACACUGUUGAGAAAACCAAAGUAGAUAGAGUUGAGGUUACUAGGAUAAUAAUUAGGAAACACUCCAUACUUUCCAAUUAUGUCUGACAUAUUAACAAGCUAAUAAGAAUUUUAGAUUCUGCUUCCUAGGCAUAAAACAAUUCAACAGUAAGGCCAUGAUUAGGUAUCACAGUUCUUAUUUCCUGAUACUGAUAUGACAAAAUCAAUUUAAGAAUUUGUUUGGGCCUUUUUUAUGCAAAGCAUGAAAAUGACUUCUAACUGAAGACAAUAGCCUAAAAAGAACAGCAGAAAUGUGGCUGUUUUCCAUUAAAAAGUAGCAACAGCAAGAUUAAACAAACACACACACACACACACACACACACGCACACACACACACACUUUACAGUUUAAUUGACUCAUGUGUUGUCUUGGAAACAUUAAAUUCCUUUAAACCUAGAGAUCUUAAAAAAAAAAAACUAACAACUAUUACCUUUCUAUUAUGUUUAAUUUGACACCCAUAAUAAAAGGAAAGACUGCUUAUUCUUUUCCUGACUUAAAAUCUCCUUUCUAUUACUCAUGAUCUCAUGUUUAGAAAACGUUUAGGAAAAAUGUGAGAAGUUUUAAUGACAACCUUUAUUUUUGAGUUCAUGCUGCUGUUAGUGAUAAGGAUAUCUGCUUUGUGGUGAAGAGAAGCAACUGUUCAAAUUCUACAUAAAGCAGGGGAACUACUGUUUAAAAUGUUUGUGAGGAGAACUGUUGCAUUUCCAUAUUUUUUUUUCUUACUGGGGUGACUGCCUCACAUUGUAAGACAUUUUUAAUUUGAAGUGUAACUUGAGCACCGUAUGGUCUUUAAACUCUUAACUUCUAUUAAUUUCGUAGGGUUUUUUUUUUUCCCUCAGUAAAGUACUUCAGGACCAAUAGAUACAUCUAUAAGUCAAUAACUUUGGUUUCGAAAUACAAUUGUUUUUACUAAGGGCACAAAAGUGUACUAACCAAGAGUGCAAGAAAUCCCAUAACUGAAUAACAUUUAAGGAGAUAGAAAACACAGUUUCAUCAAGCUAAAGCCAGGUAUUACAUAGAAUGAUGCUCCAAAUAUAUUAAGUUUCUGCUAACUCCCAAGUUACAAAUUAAAUCUAAAAAUAUAAUUUGGGGUGGUUGAACUGAAAAUGCAAUUAUUUUUCAUCAUAGAUAAUAGCACUUACAAAGAUCACCAAUGCCUGCAAUCUAUCGAUUCACAGGUUUCCAAUACGUCAUUAUUCGGUGUGUCAGAUGUUUUCACAGCAAAUACAUCUUCGGAACUUCAGGUUAUUGCCAGUUCCAGAAAUGCUCUUUAUAACUAUACUUUCAAAGAAUCUAAAAUCCUACAAGUCAUCUCUCUUACAAUACAACCAUGUCUAUUGUCUAAAAUACCUUGCUCAUAGUUUCUAAACACUGAAAAAUCUGAUAAGAAGUUGCCGAGUGAGCACUAACUAGUACCUUAUUGACCACUGGAAUCUACUUUACAAAUAAUGUAUCUUUUUAAAAAAGUGAGUAUGUUUUGCUAACGAGCAUCGCAAAUACAGGCGUUCAAAUGUUUUCUGUGCUACAAAAGUCUGAUACGUCCUACAAAAGUCUGAUAAUUUAAUUGUGCAUUCAAAGACAGAAAACAGUUAAAAUCUACUGGCCCCAACACUCACUUAGGAAGCCAGUAACGAGGGUUGUUUGAAAGCACAGUUCAAGGGUCCUGAACCACUUAGCAUAAAAUUCCAGGCCCUUAAAAUCAGCUACAGGACAGUACUUUUCAUUUCUUCAGCACUAUACCUUUGCACAACACAAUGAUUACACAUUUAGCCCCCUCUAUCAGAAACAAUGCCCUCCCUCAUUGUAGUACAUCAUUAUAUAUUGGGACUCCUCACACGGUAAUGCAAAUGAUUUGUUUGAAUGCCUAUCUCUCCCAGUAGACCACCAUACAUAAUUUCUUAAAGGCAGGAACUGAACUUAUUUUUAUAUUUCCUGGUACCUGAAUAGCACUAGUUUGAUGAAGCAACAUGACAGUAUUGGAUUCCAAAACAUCAUUAUAAAGACCUAUGUUUUAAUCCUACAUGCUCUGAGCUUUCCAUUUUCCAAAUAUGUAAAUAAUUAGCUAUUCUAAUCUUUGAGGAUUGCUGGGAAACUGAAAGAUACCUAUAAGUGACUAACUCAGUACCUGGCACAUAGAAGGUACUGUUACACAAGCUCAGUAAAUGUUAGUUGAAUUGAUCUUUCCCUGUAGCUCCUUCCAUUUAUAUAUUAACUCAAAAAUCUCUCCAGAUUUUUCAAAAUUUAAACAACUAUGUUGUUCCUUCUUACACUUUGCCAUAUACCAUAAUUUAAACAUAAUCAUAUCUAUACAAAUAAAGAAUUUCACUGUAUACUCAGGCAAUUUAAGCAUUUGAAAACAGUAAGUUCAAUUUUUUCCAGGCAUGAAAUAUCCUAAGAAAUGGGAACUAAAGUUCAGGGCAUCCAGCUUUAUUUUCUCUUCUAUUUCUCAACAAAAGAGAAAAAAAAAUGCUUCAAUAUUUAUAAGACUAAGAAUAAUGGAUGUGCAUAAUUUCGCUUUAACAUACAUUUCUGCCUUUUAAACCCAGUUUAAACUCAGUGAAAGGCCAAGAACAUGGACUUAAUUAUGCAGAAAAAAAAAAAAGAUGCCUUAACUGCAGUGCACAUUCAAUAGACAAAAUCCAAAGAAAGCAAUCCUGCCUGAAACGUUUACAAAUCAAUUCAUUAUAUUGAUUUGGAAUGAGUUGUGCUGUAAUUUAAAGCAUAGAUUACUGCAGGCCAAACUUGAUAAAGCUUUUUUAAGGUACUUCACUUGGCUAUGGACUUGACCUGAGAAUUUUCAAGACACGGUGAUUUGCCAAACCAAAAAAAAAAAAAAAAAAAAAAAA
This 3680-nucleotide long non-coding RNA is filed under the name Canis lupus familiaris (dog). RNAcentral describes it as "lncRNA (ENSCAFG00000052307.1)". The record is from RNAcentral. Lineage: Eukaryota; Metazoa; Chordata; Mammalia; Carnivora; Canidae.